Molecule: non-coding RNA, 21 nt
Filed under: Caenorhabditis elegans
Lineage: Eukaryota; Metazoa; Nematoda; Chromadorea; Rhabditida; Rhabditidae
Source: RNAcentral
UCCAACACAGAAAUUGCCAGG